AGCAGCCGCGGUAAUUCCAGCUCCAAUAGCAUAUAUUAAAGUUGUUGCAGUUAAAAAGCUCGUAGUUGAAUUUUAGGCUUGACCGGACGGUCCGCUUCUGCGAGUACUGUUCCGCGUUGGGUCUUACCUUCUGGUGAACCGGUAUGUUCUUAAUUGAAUGUGCUGUGGAGCCAGGACCAUUACCUUGAAAAAAUUAGAGUGUUUAAAGCGGGCUAUUGCUUGAAUAGAUUAGCAUGGAAUAAUAAAAUAGGACGUUGGUUCUAUUUUGUUGGUUUCUAGGACCACCGUA
Molecule: ribosomal RNA, 289 nt
Filed under: uncultured Ambisporaceae
Lineage: Eukaryota; Fungi; Glomeromycota; Glomeromycetes; Archaeosporales; Ambisporaceae
Description: partial small subunit ribosomal RNA
Rfam family: Eukaryotic small subunit ribosomal RNA
Source: RNAcentral